RNAcentral lists this transfer RNA (70 nucleotides) under Ictidomys tridecemlineatus (thirteen-lined ground squirrel). RNAcentral's name for it is "Spermophilus tridecemlineatus (thirteen-lined ground squirrel) tRNA". It matches the Rfam family "tRNA". From Rfam's summary of the family: Transfer RNA (tRNA) molecules are approximately 80 nucleotides in length. Their secondary structure includes four short double-helical elements and three loops (D, anti-codon, and T loops). The record is from Rfam by way of RNAcentral. Lineage: Eukaryota; Metazoa; Chordata; Mammalia; Rodentia; Sciuridae.
GGAGAUGUAGCUCAGUGGUAAGAACACUUGUCUUGCAUGUGUGAGGUUCUGGGUUCAAUCCCCAGCACCA